RNAcentral lists this long non-coding RNA (5460 nucleotides) under Sus scrofa (pig). Its description in RNAcentral is "lncRNA (ENSSSCG00000055500.1)". Lineage: Eukaryota; Metazoa; Chordata; Mammalia; Artiodactyla; Suidae. The record is from RNAcentral.
AACGCAGAUUUGACAGGGAAAUCAGCAUGCUGGUUGGACAGCCCUGAGCCCCCUCCCAAGUCUCAUUCAAAGCAGGGGGCGUGGGGGUGGGACGUUAGCAAAGCGGGGGAGCAAAUGUCACACGGUGGUCACACGUGUUGUGUCAUGUGCCGAGCGGACCGACACGGAAACAUCGCAGCCCAGCUGCCCACUUCCGUGACCUUGGCAGAUACAAGCCGGGCGAGGACAGCCGACCUGAAGGCAGCAGAAGGGAUGUAAGGAGGGGUCGAGGCCCCCACCUGUUGGGGGCGACUCUCUUUAGGAGCAGGAGCUUCUCCACCGUUCUCCCUCUCAUCCGAAGGUACCCUCUAGCCAAAGACCUGAACCUCUACUCUGUGUAGAGAUUAAGAUCUCUUGUUACAAAGAAGAGAAAGGCCUCACAGGCUGGUCUCCUUCAAGUCACUUUAUCUUAACUCAGGUUCACACAACCACCAGGUUUUGCAGGUGCCAAUGGGGGGCUGGAGGGAGGCGUUAAACACCUCUUGUCUUUCCAGCCUCCGGCUUCCCCACCCAACUCAGUCACACGUUCUAGUUAAGAGCCAUGUGCUGGCCUGGCCAACACAGCUUCCAGACAGGUUUGCUGUGCCCCUGCCACACUAAACCCCCUUGGCCAUUAUCAAGUCGCGUUGCCCCGGUGGGGCUUUAGGAAGUGGUGCGCAGUCCAGCCACUGUUGCUUGAGGUCCUGUGCUGGCUGCUGCGAAGCAGGAGAUAAGAUGGGUCCAGGUCCCAGAUAAGAUGGGCCGUGCACCUGUCACCUCUUCCCUGUGAGCAGAUGUUCAAGAGAAAGACUCUAGCAGGAGCAAGGAGGAGCAUCCUGCGUGGACAAAAGAUAGCGGCCACCCCGUUCUCAUUCCUGAGGUCAAGGAGACCUCGGGAACUACACACUCACAGGAGGUUCCUCGGGGGUCAGAGAAGGGAGGGGCACCAGACCCCAGUACAUCUCGUCCACCUCCCAGGAACCCUGGGGGUGGAAUCCAUCGUGGCUGAAAGAGGGGCGCACACGCAGGGGAGGGCCCUGCGUCAGGCCAAAGGAUUGGGGGGGGUGGGGGUGGGGCUCAAGGCCAGACGAAGCAAGAUGAUUGGCCAGAGGGAGCCCGGAAGGACCGCCCCCACACAAGUGAUGGACGUGACCUCCAGAGCAGGUGCGACCUCUUCGGCUCUUGCUCUUUCUCCCUCUGUCUCUCUGCACACCCCCCGCAGAGCCUGUCUGUGCUUCGCCACCCCUACCUUCUCUCUCUUCUCUCUUGCACUUAUCUGCUCACUACCCUCAGGCUCUCUGCUAAAUUCUUUCUCCAAAGGGUCGAGUUCUGGGGGGCCUCCGUCAAGUGGUGAAGGUUCAGUGUUCUCACUCCACAGCCCCCCCCCCCAGAGCGGCUGGGGAGACAUCCUCUUGGGAGACCAGCCGUGGAGGCUGAAGUCUUAUGAGGAGACAGGCAGGCAGACAAGUAUCAUACGACAGAGUCUUGCCCCCGGGAGGCACUUCAGGAGGCCGAGUGGCUUCCUCUGUGUCUUAGCUCAUUCUCUGUGACAAAAGACCACAGCCUGCGUGGCUGAAACAACAGAUGUUUACCCUUCACAGCUCUGGGGGAUGCAAGUCCAAGAAAAGGCAUGAGAGGAUUCACUACAGCAACUCGGGAUACAAGCCGCAUCUGCAACCUACACCACAGCUCACGGCAACGCUGGAUCCUGAACCCACUGAAUUGGGCCAGGGAUCGAACCCCAUCCUCAUGGAAACAAGUCAGGUUUGUUACCGCUGAGCCACAAUGGGAACUCCGAUCAUCUUUUUAGAAAGGCUCUAAUUACCAUCCUGGGGGCUCUGCCCUCAGGACCACACCUAAACCUCAUCACCUGCCAGAGGUCCACCUCCAGAUGCCAUCACAGUGGGGUCGAGGCUCCAACCUGUGUAUCUGGAGGGGACACAAACAUUCAGCUCUUAGUUCCCAGGGUACCCAGCCCCAGAUGGGCCAGUUCCCUCUCCGGCCACAGCCCUGACCUUCUGGGCAUCUGUAUUUCCCACCCACUACGCCACCAUUUCUGUCCGUUUCUCUGAUUGAAACCACUGGGACAGCUGAAAACUACCUUUCACCCACCCUUCAGGGAGCCCCCCGGGUGCUGCCCCCCGGGGACGUCAGGGUCGCCCGGCCUGAGAGUCUUCUCCGUCUUCUCUAAAUGUCGCUUCCUGACCUUCUCCCGUCUUGGGCACAUUCUAAUACUUUCUGUGAAAAAUAUCCGUGAUUGCUAAUUUUCUGUGUCAGCUUGUCUGGACUGUUUGGUUAAACACUGGUCUGGAUGUUGCUGUGAAAGCAGCAUUUUUUUAAAGGCAGGAUUAACACUGAAAUCAGUAGACUUUAGGAGAAGCAUCCCCUCCAAAAUGGGGGCGGGCUCAAAGGGGAAAGUGUUGAGCCAAAGAGGGUUAUGCUCAAGCCUUACCAUCAAAUGGAAUUUACACUGCUGGGUUCCUGCCUUUAUUGGGACCCACAACCCUUUCUCCUUCCGAGUUCACCCACCUGGAAUGGGAAGGUCUAUCCUUCGAGGUCCAUCCUUUGAGGGUCCCACUGUAUUCUGGAAGCAGGUAACUUGUAGUCUGGUUUCAUGGGUUCCCAGAUGGAGAGGAAUUUUGCCCCAGGUGAAUCAUACCCCAAGCCAUGAUCACUCACUCCUUAUUUAGAUGAGAUUUAGGACUUAGACUUGAUACCGGAAUAAAUUAAGACUUGCAGGGCUCUUGGGAUAAGAUGAACAUAUUCUGCAUGUGAGAAGGGCCUGAAUUUUGGAGGGCUGGAGGGUGUACCAUCAUGGCUUAAAAUAUGUCCCGCAGAAUUGGUGUGUUGAAGCCCUAACCUCAGAACGUGACUGUAUUUGGAAAUAGGGUCACUGCUGAUAAAGUACGUUGAGACGAAGUCAUACUGAAGUAGAGUAUGGCCCCCUAACCCCAUAUGACUUGUGUCCUUAUUAAGAGGGAUGAUUUGGACAGACAGACAGACACACACGCACCAGGGAACACCUUGUGAAGACUGGAGCCCCGCUAUGACAAUCCAGGGAACUGCUAGAAGCUGGCAGAGAGGCAUGGAGCAGACAUUCCUCCAGAGCUUUCAGAGGGAGCACGGCCCCACCCACACCUUGAUGUCAGAUUCUAAUUUCCAGAACCGUGAAACAAUAUAUUUCUGCUAUUUAAGUCACCUGUUUGUAAUACUGUGUUGCAGCAACCCCACCAAACUAAUAGUGUCCCUUCCUUGUCACCUCUGCACUAGCCUGCUGGACCCUCACCUGGAAGCCCACCAUGCUGGACACGCCUGUGUCACAGAGGGGCGACAAGAGGUCCUGCCUCUUGGCCUCCCCGGCCUUUCCUUCCUGCCACUGACACAAAUAUCAACACACGCAGGAUGCAGCCACGUGGGGAUUGGUCUGGCCCCAAGUCUUACAGCAUGCUUUAAAAAUUAAGCCAAACAUCAUUAAGUGGCAUAAGCACUUUAAAAGUAUCUGAAACAUGGAAGUCCCAUUCCUCUGAAACACACGUUAGUGUGAAAAAGUGAAAGGAGAGAACACAGCCUCAAAAGUUGUGUCUUCUUUCUGUCCAUCAAAAUACUGGGAACGUGAGGUCCCAGUUACUCAAAAAGACCCAUGUGCUUCUUAACUAGCUCUGACCAGAAAGAUCCAGUUUCUUGUCUUUAUUCCAAAGACUGUGUCUGAUGGAACAUGGAAAAGAAAAACACCAGUUUAGGAAUUGAGGAGCUGGAUUCAAAGCCUGAUUGGGUUUCUAAUCAGCUCUGUGACCUGAGUUAAAAGACUCCUCAAGCUUUUUGAGCAUCACCUUUCUCAUCCAUAAAUGAAAGGAAAAACGCCUAUCUCAGAGGCUACAGACUUUGCUUUAAGUCACUUAUUUUCUCUGGCCUCUGGCUCCUGGAAAGGAGGGAGCAUUUCAGCAUAAAAUACUCAAGUCCUGGAGUGAGACUCCAUCCUUAUCGGCUGCAUGAGGAAGGUCUGCCAUGUGGAUGAUCCACCAGAAAGAAUAAAAAACUUGGGAGGGCAGGGAGCCCCCCUGGUCCCCAAGGCCAGGAGUGCCUGUCAGCCCCCCAGAGAGCAUCCAUGUUUUGUGGGGCCUGGAGUUUCACCAAUUUGGGGGCCCUUUUUAAAGGAGUGGAAAUCCUAAAUACAAAUAGAAAAGUAGGCAGGGGACACCAGGAGAGCGGAGCCAGGACCCUGGGCAGUGCAGAGAGAGAUGCGAAAAAGGACAGAGAGCAAAACAGAAAGAAAGAUUCUCCAACACCCACCCCGAGCUGAUUUAAUAUGGCUGGAGCAUCAGUAUAGUUCCAUUCAGGUGUUUGUAACCGACUACUGGCAAGAUCAGCUUCCCUUUUUGUUGUGGUUUUGUUUUGUUUUGCUUUUCUGUUAACUGGUUGGACACAAGUGCCUGUUCAGAUCUCAAAAUAUUUUGUCUAUUUUUUCCCUUAUGUGAUGCUAAGGAUGAAUUAUUUUCGUAUCAGAAAGCCCCCACAUGCCGCCAGGGCCCAGCUUUGGACCACAUGUGGAUCGGCCCGCUGGUCAUAGCAAACCUGGGCUGACCCACCAGCACCUGUUCCCACGAAGCCUGGGGACAGCUGUUCCUGCAGAGGAAGGGGACAGCACCAGGAACUUGGCCUGAAGGAAACCAGGUGUGGGAAGGAAGGAGCCGGUCAGACAUUCAGUCGGCACGUGCUGACUGAGCACACCACCACCGCGGUCACAUACCUGAAGCCCCGGAAGCCACAUAGGUGUGAGAAUUCAGAAUGUUCCAGAUUUUACCAGGACACUCUGAUGCACAAACCAUCUGAUAACAUCCCAGAGGGGUCUGAGGCAAAAUUCCUGGGUAUCGAACACGUCAGUAUUUCUUCACUCGUGGUAUCAGCAAAAUGUAUGGCUAUUCACUAAGUGGGAUAAACAGAGCCUUAUAUCCUUCACAUGUGGCCACCAAAGCAGUUAAAAAAUCUCUCUGUUUUCAGAGCCUUCUGGAUUUUAGAUUUAUGGAUACAGGACUGUGGACUUGGGCCAGGUGCCAAGAGGUGUUCAAAGUGCCCCAAGGCCCACAGACAGGCGUCCACAGAACCUGGGGGUCCUGCAAGGUGAAUAGGUCCCUCUCUGAGCCACAUCAGAUACAGGCAAAAGCCUCGUGGGAAGAAGGCAAGAUUUUAACAGAAAAAAAGGGAGCAAAACAAUAGAAACGGUGUGCUUAAAAAUAAAAUCUCUGCUAGAAAAAUCAUAUGAGGGAGUUCCCACUGUGGCUCAGCAGGUUAAGAACCCGACUAGUGUCCAUGAGGAUGCGGGUUCAAUCCCUGGCCCCACUCAGUGGGUUGGGGAUCUGGCGUUGCCAUGAGCUCUGGUAUAGAUUGAGACUCAGCUCCGAUCCAGCAUUUCUGUGGCUGUGGUGUAGGCUGGCAGUUGUAGCU